CAUGUUUUAAACAACAGUAGAGAUUUCUUUUGGAUAUUCUUUGGAUAAACCUUCAAUUAGCGUCACAAAACAGACUGGCUGGACUUUGCAGAGAAUUGCUGGCAGUUCUGUAGGGGACUGCAGAAAUUUCACUGCAUGCUGCCUGGCCUGCUGAGUUCCUCCAGCAUUUUGUGCGUGUUACAGCACAAUUUCCAGCAUCUGCAGAUUUUCUCCUGGUUAUUUAAUUUCUGCCAUUUUAAUAACCUUGCUGCCUGAGGUUUCUGGUACCGUUCUGGACAGGGUGUCAGUCGAGACAAGAGCUGGUUUUGCUCGUUCUCCGCAAUGACCUGAAGUGGACGCUGAUGCAAAUUCUAUGAUACGGAAUAUAAGCCUUUUCUUUAUUUGAAGCUCAAGUAUAAUUACAAAGCUGGUGAAGAACUGGCUUAUAGAAAGGAGAUUGAAAAUCUGACUGAGUGGUGCCACAUCAACAACUUCUCACUCAAUGUCAGCAAGACUGAAGAGUUGAUUAUUGACAACAGGUGGAAGAGGCUAGAGAUCCAUGGGCCAGUCCUCAUUAGGGCAACAGAGGCGGAGAAGGUCAGCAACUUUAAAUUCUUUGGCUUUAACAUAUGAGACCUCCAAGAGGACCACAACCUUGUCAUGGUUUAGAGGCUUGCACGCCUCAAUGAUCUGGAGAGCUAGGUUGGUUGGAGUUACAUCUUUAUGCUUUGGCUCUUGGUAGGGUCACCCAUACCAAACAGGACAAAGGGUAGAGGCCAGACUAAGAGUGGUCCACUGGUCCUCCAGGUUUUGGGGGUUCAGCUCCGGUUUACAAUCCUGACUGGCAAAAUAAAAUUGUUAUGGAAAUAGCAAUGAAGAAUCCUUCCAUGUCUGAGUGUGAUGGGAUUCCUGAGUCUCCACUUGGGGUUUGCAUGACAGUAUGAAGACUGAGCUACUGACAUGAUGAAGGAAGCCCUGAACACCGCCAGAGAUGGAGGACCUUCACAGCUGCCCUAAACACCAGCAGCAUAACGGGCAGUAAGUGAGGCGAACUGACUAGUUGAAGGGAAGUAGCUGUUCUUGAACUUGGAACUUCAGGCCUCCUGCCCGAUGGUAGCUGAGAGAAGACGCCAUGGCCGCAAAAACUUUUAUGGUUGUACUGUGGAGAACAUUAUGACAAGCUGCAUCACUGUGCUGUAUGGAGGGGCUACCGCACAAGACCGGAAGCUGCAUGAUGCACCAUCAAUAACUCCCAGAGACUGGAAGUGAACGAUAGGCUUUUAUCAACAGCGAAAAGGGAGCACGACAUGUCGAAGACUGAGGGAGGAGCAGUGCCCUGAUCACCUUUAUACAGGGGUCUGUGGGAGGAGCCACAGGAGCAAUUAACAGAGAGGUGUGUCCAGACAGGUAUAUAUAGUUCACCACACUACAGAAGGUUGUAAAUCUAGUCAGCUCAUCUUGGGUACUAGCCUGCAAGGUACCCAGGACAUCUACGAGGAGCAAUGUCUCAGAAAGGCAGCAUCCGUUACUAAGGACCUCCAGCACCCAGGGCAUGUCCUUUUCUCACUGUUACCAUUAGGUAGGAGGUACAGAAGCCAAAAGCACACACUCAGUAAUUCAGAAACAGCUUCUUCUCC
Molecule: long non-coding RNA, 1616 nt
Organism: Hypanus sabinus (Atlantic stingray)
Lineage: Eukaryota; Metazoa; Chordata; Chondrichthyes; Myliobatiformes; Dasyatidae
Exons: 3
Source: RefSeq, a predicted model, not a curated record